Molecule: long non-coding RNA, 221 nt
Filed under: Homo sapiens (human)
Lineage: Eukaryota; Metazoa; Chordata; Mammalia; Primates; Hominidae
Description: HSALNT0190679
Source: RNAcentral
UGUCGUCAGGAUUUAGGGUUCACUGCUGUUGUUGAUUAUCCCAGUGGUAAGCUCAGUCUAGUGACCUAAUAGAUAUGAAACAGCCAUGCCAAUUACCAUGAGCUGAGCAUGGGUGGGUAGAGCAAGGGAAGCAUGCGUAAGUUCGUGUGGACGGUGGGACAGCUGGAGAAGGAUGUGGUAAAGACCACUGGUCCACAUACUGCCGUUGGCAGUUGACAACC